AAAAACAUCGCCUUCGGGACAUUAUCGAAAGGUUCGGCCUGCCCGGUGAUUAAAUAAUUAAACGGCUGCAGUACUCUGACUGUGCAAAGGUAGCAUAAUCAUUAGCCUAUUAAUUGUAGGCUUGUAUCAACGGCUAGACGAUAAGGAAGCUGUCUCUUUUUAUAUUUCUUGAAUUUAGCAUUAAGGUGAAGAGGCCUUAAUAUAAUAGUGGGACGAGAAGACCCUAUUGAGCUUUAGCAAAAUAUAUAAAUUAAUAUAUAAAUUGUUUGGAUUGGGGCAAUUAUUUUUUUAAUAAAACAAAAAGUUAGUAUUUAGUUCAAACUAAUAAAAGGUCCAAAAAGUUUUGAAAUCGGAAUAAGUUACCUUAGGGAUAACAGCGUAAUUUUUCUCGAGAGUACACAUUGACAGAAAAGUUUGCGACCUCGAUGUUGGAUCAAAGAUACCUGGAUGUGCAGCCGCCUCCGAGGGUUGGUUUGUUCAACCAUAAAAACUUUACGUGAUCUG
RNAcentral lists this ribosomal RNA (504 nucleotides) under Amphilepis norvegica. RNAcentral describes it as "partial large subunit ribosomal RNA". It matches the Rfam family "Bacterial large subunit ribosomal RNA", at positions 1809 to 2607 of the family's 2925-position model. Lineage: Eukaryota; Metazoa; Echinodermata; Ophiuroidea; Amphilepidida; Amphilepididae. The record is from RNAcentral.